UAUCAAUUAAGCGGAGGAAAAGAAACCAACAGGGAUUGCCCUAGUAACGGCGAGUGAAGCGGCAACAGCUCAAAUUUGAAAUCUGGCUCUUUCAGAGUCCGAGUUGUAAUUUGCAGAGGGCGCUUUGGCUUUGGCAGCGGUCCAAGUUCCUUGGAACAGGACGUCACAGAGGGUGAGAAUCCCGUACGUGGUCGCUAGCUAUUGCCGUGUAAAGCCCCUUCGACGAGUCGAGUUGUUUGGGAAUGCAGCUCUAAAUGGGAGGUAAAUUUCUUCUAAAGCUAAAUAUUGGCCAGAGACCGAUAGCGCACAAGUAGAGUGAUCGAAAGAUGAAAAGCACUUUGGAAAGAGAGUCAAACAGCACGUGAAAUUGUUGAAAGGGAAGCGCUUGCAGCCAGACUUGCUUGCAGUUGCUCAUCCGGGCUUUUGCCCGGUGCACUCUUCUGUAGGCAGGCCAGCAUCAGUUUGGGCGGUGGGAUAAAGGUCUCUGUCACGUACCUCUCUUCGGGGAGGCCUUAUAGGGGAGACGACAUACCACCAGCCUAGACUGAGGUCCGCGCAUCUGCUAGGAUGCUGGCGUAAUGGCUGUAAGCGGCCCGUCUUGA
Molecule: ribosomal RNA, 602 nt
Filed under: Bipolaris maydis (southern corn leaf blight pathogen)
Lineage: Eukaryota; Fungi; Ascomycota; Dothideomycetes; Pleosporales; Pleosporaceae
Description: partial 26S ribosomal RNA
Rfam family: Eukaryotic large subunit ribosomal RNA
Source: RNAcentral